RNAcentral lists this transfer RNA (73 nucleotides) under Zootermopsis nevadensis. It matches the Rfam family "tRNA". From Rfam's summary of the family: Transfer RNA (tRNA) molecules are approximately 80 nucleotides in length. Their secondary structure includes four short double-helical elements and three loops (D, anti-codon, and T loops). The record is from Rfam by way of RNAcentral. Lineage: Eukaryota; Metazoa; Arthropoda; Insecta; Blattodea; Termopsidae.
GCCACGGUCGUCUAGCGGUUAGAACGCUGGCCUUGUAAUCCUGGGGUCUCGGGUUCGAUUCCCGGCGGUGCCC